This 1736-nucleotide ribosomal RNA is filed under the name human oral metagenome. RNAcentral's name for it is "bacterial LSU rRNA". It matches the Rfam family "Bacterial large subunit ribosomal RNA", at positions 1134 to 2925 of the family's 2925-position model. The record is from RNAcentral.
GUAAUAGCUCACUGGUCGAGUGAAGUUGCGCGGAAAAUUACCGGGGCUAAGUUAUCAACCGAAAUUGCGGAUUUGUAAUUUAUUACAAGUGGUAGAGGAGCAUUCUAUUGUAGGAUGAAGUCAGAGCGUGAGCACUGGUGGACGAGAUAGAAGAGAGAAUGCUGGAAUAAGUAGCGAGAGCAGGGUGAGAAUCCCUGCCGUCGAAAGUCUAAGGUUUCCUGGGGAAGGUUCGUCCGCCCAGGGUUAGUCAGGACCUAAGGAGAGGCCGAAAGGCGUAUCUGAUGGAUAGCAGGUUGAUAUUCCUGCACUAUAUAAUACUUAAAAGAUGCAACUGACGCAGAAGUGGAAGGUGAGCAAGGAAAUGGAAAAACUUGUUCCGCAAGGGGGAGUGAAAAUAAAGUAACGAAGCACCAAGAAGCACGCUGACGAGAAAAGGUUGUAGAUCUUGUAUUAUAUACUUGUACCGCAAACCGACACAGGUAGAUGAGGAGAGGAUCCUAAGACGAUCGGGAGAAGCAUUGUUAAGGAACUCGGCAAAUUGACCCCGUAACUUUGGAAGAAGGGGUACUGGUGUAACAGCCAGUCGCAGAGAAUUGUCCCAAGCAACUGUUUAACAAAAACAUAGGUUUCUGCUAAAUCGAAAGAUGAAGUAUAGGAGCUGACGCCUGCCCAGUGCUGGAAGGUUAAGGGAACGUGUUAAUAGUAAUAUGAAGCACCGAACUGAAGCCCCAGUGAACGGCGGCCGUAACUAUAACGGUCCUAAGGUAGCGAAAUUCCUUGUCAGGUAAGUUCUGACCCGCACGAAAGGCGUAAUGAUUUGGGAGCUGUCUCGACAAUGUCCCCGGCGAAAUUGUAGUACUAGUGAAGAUGCUAGUUACCUGCGACAAGACAGAAAGACCCCAUGGAGCUUUACUGCAGUUUGAUACUGAGUCAGGCUAAUUUAUGUACAGGAUAGUUAGGAGGCUUUGAGGCUUAAGCGCCAGCUUAAGAAGAGCCAACGUUGGGAUACUAACCUUAAAUUAGUUUGAAUCUAACUCGUGAUCGUAAUCCGGUCAGAGGACAAUGUCAGACGGGCAGUUUGACUGGGGCGGUCGCCUCCUAAAGAGUAACGGAGGCGUUCAAAGGUUCCCUCAGCGCGGACAGAAAUCGCGCAAUAGAGUGUAAAGGCAGAAGGGAGCUUAACUGGGAGACUAACAAGUCGAGCAGAUACGAAAGUAGGACUUAGUGAUCCGGUGGAUUAUGAAUGGAAAUGCCAUCGCUCAACGGACAAAAGUUACCCUGGGGAUAACAGGCUUAUCUCCCCCAAGAGUUCACAUCGACGGGGAGGUUUGGCACCUCGAUGUCGGCUCAUCGCAUCCUGGGGCUGUAGUCGGUCCCAAGGGUUGGGCUGUUCGCCCAUUAAAGCGGUACGCGAGCUGGGUUCAGAACGUCGUGAGACAGUUCGGUCCUUAUCUGUCGCAGGCGCAGGAUAUUUGAGGAGAUCUGCCCCUAGUACGAGAGGACCAGGGUGGACGAACAGAUGGUGCAACAGUUGUUCUACCAAGAGCAUAGCUGUGUAGCCAAGUUCGGAAUGGAUAAACGCUGAGAGCAUCUAAGUGUGAAGCCAACUCCAAGAUAAGAUAUCCCAUACCGUUAAGGUAGUAAGAUUCCAUGAAGACUACGUGGUUGAUAGGUUGGGGGUGUAAGUGAAGCGAUUCACUGAGCUGACCAAUACUAAUAAAUCGAGGGCUUAACCA